RNAcentral lists this ribosomal RNA (2914 nucleotides) under Klebsiella pneumoniae. RNAcentral describes it as "23S ribosomal RNA". It matches the Rfam family "Bacterial large subunit ribosomal RNA". The record is from RNAcentral. Lineage: Bacteria; Pseudomonadati; Pseudomonadota; Gammaproteobacteria; Enterobacterales; Enterobacteriaceae.
GGGUUGUGAGGUUAAGCGACUAAGCGUACACGGUGGAUGCCCUGGCAGUCAGAGGCGAUGAAGGACGUGCUAAUCUGCGAAAAGCGUCGGUAAGGUGAUAUGAACCGUUAUAACCGGCGAUGUCCGAAUGGGGAAACCCAGUGCAAUUCGUUGCACUAUCGUUAACUGAAUACAUAGGUUAACGAGGCGAACCGGGGGAACUGAAACAUCUAAGUACCCCGAGGAAAAGAAAUCAACCGAGAUUCCCCCAGUAGCGGCGAGCGAACGGGGAGCAGCCCAGAGUCUGAAUCAGCUUGUGUGUUAGUGGAACGGUCUGGAAAGUCCGACGGUACAGGGUGAUAGUCCCGUACACCAAAAUGCACAGGUUGUGAACUCGAAGAGUAGGGCGGGACACGUGGUAUCCUGUCUGAAUAUGGGGGGACCAUCCUCCAAGGCUAAAUACUCCUGACUGACCGAUAGUGAACCAGUACCGUGAGGGAAAGGCGAAAAGAACCCCGGCGAGGGGAGUGAAAAAGAACCUGAAACCGUGUACGUACAAGCAGUGGGAGCACCUUCGGGUGUGACUGCGUACCUUUUGUAUAAUGGGUCAGCGACUUAUAUUCUGUAGCAAGGUUAACCGUAUAGGGGAGCCGCAGGGAAACCGAGUCUUAACUGGGCGUUAAGUUGCAGGGUAUAGACCCGAAACCCGGUGAUCUAGCCAUGGGCAGGUUGAAGGUUGGGUAACACUAACUGGAGGACCGAACCGACUAAUGUUGAAAAAUUAGCGGAUGACUUGUGGCUGGGGGUGAAAGGCCAAUCAAACCGGGAGAUAGCUGGUUCUCCCCGAAAGCUAUUUAGGUAGCGCCUCGUGAAUUCAUCUUCGGGGGUAGAGCACUGUUUCGGCUAGGGGGUCAUCCCGACUUACCAACCCGAUGCAAACUACGAAUACCGAAGAAUGUUAUCACGGGAGACACACGGCGGGUGCUAACGUCCGUCGUGAAGAGGGAAACAACCCAGACCGCCAGCUAAGGUCCCAAAGUCAUGGUUAAGUGGGAAACGAUGUGGGAAGGCACAGACAGCCAGGAUGUUGGCUUAGAAGCAGCCAUCAUUUAAAGAAAGCGUAAUAGCUCACUGGUCGAGUCGGCCUGCGCGGAAGAUGUAACGGGGCUAAACCAUGCACCGAAGCUGCGGCAGCGACACUAUGUGUUGUUGGGUAGGGGAGCGUUCUGUAAGCCUGCGAAGGUGUCCUGUGAGGGUUGCUGGAGGUAUCAGAAGUGCGAAUGCUGACAUAAGUAACGAUAAAGCGGGUGAAAAGCCCGCUCGCCGGAAGACCAAGGGUUCCUGUCCAACGUUAAUCGGGGCAGGGUGAGUCGACCCCUAAGGCGAGGCCGAAAGGCGUAGUCGAUGGGAAACAGGUUAAUAUUCCUGUACUUGGUGUUACUGCGAAGGGGGGACGGAGAAGGCUAUGUUAGCCGGGCGACGGUUGUCCCGGUUUAAGCAUGUAGGCNNNNNNNNNNNNNNNNNNNNNNNNNNNNNNNNNNNNNNNNNNACUACGGUGCUGAAGUAACAAAUGCCCUGCUUCCAGGAAAAGCCUCUAAGCAUCAGGUAACAUCAAAUCGUACCCCAAACCGACACAGGUGGUCAGGUAGAGAAUACCAAGGCGCUUGAGAGAACUCGGGUGAAGGAACUAGGCAAAAUGGUGCCGUAACUUCGGGAGAAGGCACGCUGGUGUGUAGGUGAAGUCCCUGCGGAUGGAGCUGAGACCAGUCGAAGAUACCAGCUGGCUGCAACUGUUUAUUAAAAACACAGCACUGUGCAAACACGAAAGUGGACGUAUACGGUGUGACGCCUGCCCGGUGCCGGAAGGUUAAUUGAUGGGGUUAUCCGUAAGGAGAAGCUCUUGAUCGAAGCCCCGGUAAACGGCGGCCGUAACUAUAACGGUCCUAAGGUAGCGAAAUUCCUUGUCGGGUAAGUUCCGACCUGCACGAAUGGCGUAAUGAUGGCCAGGCUGUCUCCACCCGAGACUCAGUGAAAUUGAACUCGCUGUGAAGAUGCAGUGUACCCGCGGCAAGACGGAAAGACCCCGUGAACCUUUACUAUAGCUUGACACUGAACAUUGAGCCUUGAUGUGUAGGAUAGGUGGGAGGCUUUGAAGCGUGGACGCCAGUCUGCGUGGAGCCAACCUUGAAAUACCACCCUUUAAUGUUUGAUGUUCUAACGUUGGCCCCUGACCGGGGUUGCGGACAGUGUCUGGUGGGUAGUUUGACUGGGGCGGUCUCCUCCCAAAGCGUAACGGAGGAGCACGAAGGUUAGCUAAUCCUGGUCGGACAUCAGGAGGUUAGUGCAAUGGCAUAAGCUAGCUUGACUGCGAGCGUGACGGCGCGAGCAGGUGCGAAAGCAGGUCAUAGUGAUCCGGUGGUUCUGAAUGGAAGGGCCAUCGCUCAACGGAUAAAAGGUACUCCGGGGAUAACAGGCUGAUACCGCCCAAGAGUUCAUAUCGACGGCGGUGUUUGGCACCUCGAUGUCGGCUCAUCACAUCCUGGGGCUGAAGUAGGUCCCAAGGGUAUGGCUGUUCGCCAUUUAAAGUGGUACGCGAGCUGGGUUUAGAACGUCGUGAGACAGUUCGGUCCCUAUCUGCCGUGGGCGCUGGAGAAUUGAGGGGGGCUGCUCCUAGUACGAGAGGACCGGAGUGGACGCAUCACUGGUGUUCGGGUUGUCAUGCCAAUGGCACUGCCCGGUAGCUAAAUGCGGAAGAGAUAAGUGCUGAAAGCAUCUAAGCACGAAACUUGCCCCGAGAUGAGUUCUCCCUGAGACUUUAAGUCUCCUGAAGGAACGUUAAAGACGAUGACGUUGAUAGGCCGGGUGUGUAAGCGCAGCGAUGCGUUGAGCUAACCGGUACUAAUGAACCGUGAGGCUUAACCUUACAACGCCGAAG